UACGAAGGGGGCUAGCGUUGCUCGGAAUUACUGGGCGUAAAGGGAGCGUAGGCGGACAGUUAAGUCAGAGGUGAAAGCCCAGGGCUCAACCUUGGAAUUGCCUUUGAUACUGAUUGUCUUGAGUACGGGAGAGGUGUGUGGAACUCCGAGUGUAGAGGUGAAAUUCGUAGAUAUUCGGAAGAACACCAGUGGCGAAGGCGACACACUGGCCCGUUACUGACGCUGAGGCUCGAAAGCGUGGGGAGCAAACAGG
Molecule: ribosomal RNA, 253 nt
Filed under: uncultured bacterium
Lineage: Bacteria
Description: partial 16S ribosomal RNA
Rfam family: Bacterial small subunit ribosomal RNA
Source: RNAcentral